Lingula anatina is the source of this 69-nucleotide non-coding RNA. Lineage: Eukaryota; Metazoa; Brachiopoda; Lingulata; Lingulida; Lingulidae. The record is from the annotation of a RefSeq genome assembly.
CGGGGUCUAGUGUAAUUAGCACGCAGGUUUUGGGAACUUGAGGUCAGGAAAAUAGCUCCUGGUCCCUGA